GGAGAGAUGGCUGAGUGGUUGAAAGCACCGCACUCGAAAUGCGGCAUAGGGGAAACUCUAUCGAGGGUUCGAAUCCCUCUCUCUCCGCCA
Molecule: transfer RNA, 90 nt
Filed under: Bartonella raoultii
Lineage: Bacteria; Pseudomonadati; Pseudomonadota; Alphaproteobacteria; Hyphomicrobiales; Bartonellaceae
Description: tRNA-Ser
Rfam family: tRNA
About the family: Transfer RNA (tRNA) molecules are approximately 80 nucleotides in length. Their secondary structure includes four short double-helical elements and three loops (D, anti-codon, and T loops). Further hydrogen bonds mediate the characteristic L-shaped molecular structure. tRNAs have two regions of fundamental functional importance: the anti-codon, which is responsible for specific mRNA codon recognition, and the 3' end, to which the tRNAs corresponding amino acid is attached (by aminoacyl-tRNA synthetases). tRNAs cope with the degeneracy of the genetic code in two manners: having more than one tRNA (with a specific anti-codon) for a particular amino acid; and 'wobble' base-pairing, i.e. permitting non-standard base-pairing at the 3rd anti-codon position.
Source: RNAcentral